RNAcentral lists this ribosomal RNA (811 nucleotides) under uncultured archaeon. RNAcentral's name for it is "bacterial SSU rRNA". It matches the Rfam family "Archaeal small subunit ribosomal RNA", at positions 85 to 879 of the family's 1478-position model. The record is from RNAcentral.
ACGGCUCAGUAACACGUGGCUAAUCUGCCCUUGGGACCGGAACACCCCCGGGAAACUGGGGCUAAUUCUCGAUAGGUGAAGAACUCUGGAAUGAGUCUUUGCCAAAAAGUUGUUAAGGUUAUGCUCUUUGACAACGCCCAAGGAUGAGGCCGCGACCGAUCAGGUUGUUGGUGAGGUAAUGGCUCACCAAGCCUUUUACCGGUGCGGGCCGUGAGAGCGGGAGCCCGGAGAUGGGCACUGAGACAAGGGCCCAGGCCCUACGGGGCGCAGCAGUCGCGAAAACUUUGCAAUAAGCGAAAGCUUGACAGGGCUAUCCCGAGUGCCAUCCGCUGAGGAAGGCUUUUACCCAGUCUAGAACGCUGGGGGAAUAAGGAGAGGGCAAGUCUGGUGUCAGCCGCCGCGGUAAUACCAGCUCUCCGAGUGGUGUGGAUGUUUAUUGGGCCUAAAGCAUCCGUAGCUGGCUAAGUUAGUCCCUUGUUAAAUCCACCGAAUUAAUCGUUGGAUUGCGGGGGAUACUGCUUGGCUAGGGGACGAGAGAGGCAGACGGUAUUUCCGGGGUAGGGGUGAAAUCCUAUAAUCCCGGGAAGACCACCAGUGGCGAAGGCUGUCUGCUAGAACGCGCCCGACGGUGAGGGAUGAAAGCUGGGGGAGCGAACCGGAUUAGAUACCCGGGUAGUCCCAGCUGUAAACGAUGCAGGCUAGGUGUUUGGACGGCCACGUGCCGUUCUAGUGCCGCAGGGAAGCUGUUAAGCCUGCCGCCUGGGGAGUACGAUCGCAAGAUUGAAACUUAAAGGAAUUGGCGGGGGAGCAC